GAUGAACGCUGGCGGCGUGCCUAAUACAUGCAAGUCGAGCGAACAGACGAGGAGCUUGCUCCUCUGACGUUAGCGGCGGACGGGUGAGUAACACGUGGAUAACCUACCUAUAAGACUGGGAUAACUUCGGGAAACCGGAGCUAAUACCGGAUAAUAUAUUGAACCGCAUGGUUCAAUAGUGAAAGACGGUUUUGCUGUCCCUUAUAGAUGGAUCCGCGCCGCAUUAUCUAGUUGGUAAGGUAACGGCUUACCAAGGCAACGAUGCGUAGCCGACCUGAGAGGGUGAUCGGCCACACUGGAACGGAGACACGGUCCAGACUCCUACGGGAGGCAGCAGUAGGGAAUCUUCCGCAAUGGGCGAAAGCCUGACGGAGCAACGCCGCGUGAGUGAUGAAGGUCUUCGGAUCGUAAAACUCUGUUAUUAGGGAAGAACAAAUGUGUAAGUAACUAUGCACGUCUUGACGGUACCUAAUCAGAAAGCCACGGCUAACUACGUG
Molecule: ribosomal RNA, 497 nt
Filed under: uncultured bacterium
Lineage: Bacteria
Description: partial 16S ribosomal RNA
Rfam family: Bacterial small subunit ribosomal RNA
Source: RNAcentral